This 394-nucleotide ribosomal RNA is filed under the name uncultured bacterium. RNAcentral describes it as "bacterial SSU rRNA". It matches the Rfam family "Bacterial small subunit ribosomal RNA", at positions 29 to 408 of the family's 1533-position model. The record is from RNAcentral.
AACGAACGCUGGCGGCGCGCCUAAUACAUGCAAGUCGAGCGAGAAGACGUAGUAAUACGUUUGUAAAGCGGCGAACGGGUGAGGAAUACAUGGGGUAACCUACCCUCGAGUGGGGAAGUAACUAGCCGAAAGGUUAGCUAAUACCGCGUACGCUCCUUGGACUUCGGUUCAGGGAGGAAAGCGAUACCGUGGGGUAUCGCGCUCUUGGAUGGGCUCAUGUCCCUAUCAGCUUGUUGGUGAGGUAACGGCUCACCAAGGCUUCGACGGGUAGCUGGUCUGAGAGGACGAUCAGCCACACUGGCACUGCGACACGGGCCAGGACUCCUACGGGAGGCAGCAGUAAGGAAUAUUGCGCAAUGGGCGAAAGCCUGACGCAGCGACGCCGCGUGGGGGA